RNAcentral lists this ribosomal RNA (301 nucleotides) under uncultured bacterium. RNAcentral describes it as "partial 16S ribosomal RNA". It matches the Rfam family "Bacterial small subunit ribosomal RNA", at positions 509 to 807 of the family's 1533-position model. The record is from RNAcentral.
CAGUCGCCACGGGAAUACAGAGGGUGCGAGCGUUAAUCGGAUUUACUGGGCGUAAAGCGUGCGUAGGCGGCUAAUUGAGUCGGAUGUGAAAUCCCCGAGCUUAACUUGGGAAUUGCAUUCGAUACUGGUUAGCUAGAGUGUGGGAGAGGAUGGUAGAAUUCCAGGUGUAGCGGUGAAAUGCGUAGAGAUCUAGAGGAAUACCGAUGGCGAAGGCAGCCAUCUGGCCUAACACUGACGCUGAGGUACGAAAGCAUGGGGAGCAAACAGGAUUAGAUACCCCUGUAGUCCCUGUCUCUUAUAC